UAAUACCGCAUACGUCCUACGGGAGAAAGGGGGGGAUCUUCGGACCUCUCGCUAUCAGAUGAGCCCAAGCGGGAUUAGCUAGUUGGUGGGGUAAAGGCUCACCAAGGCGACGAUCCCUAGCUGGUCUGAGAGGAUGAUCAGCCACACUGGAACUGAGACACGGUCCAGACUCCUACGGGAGGCAGCAGUGGGGAAUAUUGGACAAUGGGCGAAAGCCUGAUCCAGCCAUGCCGCGUGUGUGAAGAAGGCCUUCGGGUUGUAAAGCACUUUAAGCGAGGAGGAAGGUUCGUCACCUAAUACGUGACGGAAUUGACGUUACUCGCAGAAUAAGCACCGGCUAACUCUGUGCCAGCAGCCGCGGUAAUACAGAGGGUGCAAGCGUUAAUCGGAAUUACUGGGCGUAAAGCGCGCGUAGGCGGUUGUGUAAGUUGGAUGUGAAAUCCCCGGGCUUAACCUGGGCACUGCAUUCAAAACUGCACGGCUAGAGUAUGGGAGAGGAAGGUAGAAUUCCAGGUGUAGCGGUGAAAUGCGUAGAGAUCUGGAGGAAUACCGAUGGCGAAGGCAGCCAUCUGGCCUAAUACUGACGCUGAGGUGCGAAAGCAUGGGGAGCAAACAGGAUUAGAUACCCUGGUAGUCCAUGCCGUAAACGAUGUCGACUAGGUGUUGGGGAACUUGAUUCCUUAGUGCCGCAGCUAACGCAUUAAGUCGACCGCC
This 714-nucleotide ribosomal RNA is filed under the name uncultured Gammaproteobacteria bacterium. Its description in RNAcentral is "bacterial SSU rRNA". It matches the Rfam family "Bacterial small subunit ribosomal RNA", at positions 164 to 873 of the family's 1533-position model. Lineage: Bacteria; Pseudomonadati; Pseudomonadota; Gammaproteobacteria. The record is from RNAcentral.